This 457-nucleotide ribosomal RNA is filed under the name uncultured Sphingobacteriales bacterium. Its description in RNAcentral is "bacterial SSU rRNA". It matches the Rfam family "Bacterial small subunit ribosomal RNA", at positions 925 to 1382 of the family's 1533-position model. Lineage: Bacteria; Pseudomonadati; Bacteroidota; Sphingobacteriia; Sphingobacteriales. The record is from RNAcentral.
ACAAGCGGAGGAGCAUGUGGUUAAUUCGAUGAUACGCGAGGAACCUUACCUGGGCGUCGAACGUAAGAUGACUGUAGGUGAAAGCUUACAUCUCUUCGGAGCAUUUUACGAGGUGCUGCAUGGUUGUCGUCAGCUCGUGCCGUGAGGUGUCGGGUUAAGUCCCAUAACGAGCGCAACCCCUACCUUUAGUUGCCAUCAGGUUAAGCUGGGGACUCUAAAGGAACUGCCUACGCAAGUAGUGAGGAAGGCGGGGAUGACGUCAAAUCAGCACGGCCCUUACGUCCAGGGCUACACACGUGCUACAAUGGCCGAUACAGAGGGCAGCUACCUGGUGACAGGAUGCAAAUCUCCAAAGUCGGUCUCAGUUCGGAUCGGAGUCUGCAACCCGACUCCGUGAAGUUGGAUUCGCUAGUAAUCGCGCAUCAGCCAUGGCGCGGUGAAUACGUUCCCGGGCCUU